AUUGAACGCUGGCGGCAUGCUUUACACAUGCAAGUCGAACGGUAACAGGUUAAGCUGACGAGUGGCGAACGGGUGAGUAAUGCAUCGGAACGUGCCCGAUCGUGGGGGAUAACGCAGCGAAAGCUGCGCUAAUACCGCAUACGAUCUGAGGAUGAAAGCGGGGGACCGUAAGGCCUCGCGCGAUCGGAGCGGCCGAUGUCAGAUUAGGUAGUUGGUGGGGUAAAGGCUCACCAAGCCGACGAUCUGUAGCUGGUCUGAGAGGACGACCAGCCACACUGGGACUGAGACACGGCCCAGACUCCUACGGGAGGCAGCAGUGGGGAAUUUUGGACAAUGGGCGCAAGCCUGAUCUAGCAAUGCCGCGUGCAGGAAGAAGGCCUUCGGGUUGUAAACUGCUUUUGUACGGAGCGAAAAGGCUCUCUCUAAUACAGGGGGCUCAUGACGGUACCGUAAGAAUAAGCACCGGCUAACUACGUGCCAGCAGCCGCCGCGG
Molecule: ribosomal RNA, 493 nt
Filed under: uncultured bacterium
Lineage: Bacteria
Description: partial 16S ribosomal RNA
Rfam family: Bacterial small subunit ribosomal RNA
Source: RNAcentral